GGUGGCUAAUACCGCAUAACGUCGCAAGACCAAAGAGGGGGACCUUCGGGCCUCUUGCCAUCAGAUGUGCCCAGAUGGGAUUAGCUUGUUGGUGAGGUAACGGCUCACCAAGGCGACGAUCCCUAGCUGGUCUGAGAGGAUGACCAGCCACACUGGAACUGAGACACGGUCCAGACUCCUACGGGAGGCAGCAGUGGGGAAUAUUGCACAAUGGGCGCAAGCCUGAUGCAGCCAUGCCGCGUGUAUGAAGAAGGCCUUCGGGUUGUAAAGUACUUUCAGCGGGGAGGAAGGUGUUGUGGUUAAUAACCGCAGCAAUUGACGUUACCCGCAGAAGAAGCACCGGCUAACUCCGUGCCAGCAGCCGCGGUAAUACGGAGGGUGCAAGCGUUAAUCGGAAUUACUGGGCGUAAAGCGCACGCAGGCGGUCUGUCAAGUCGGAUGUGAAAUCCCCGGGCUCAACCUGGGAACUGCAUUCGAAACUGGCAGGCUUGAGUCUUGUAGAGGGGGGUAGAAUUCCAGGUGUAGCGGUGAAAUGCGUAGAGAUCUGGAGGAAUACCGGUGGCGAAGGCGGCCCCCUGGACAAAGACUGACGCUCAGGUGCGAAAGCGUGGGGAGCAAACAGGAUUAGAUACCCUGGUAGUCCACGCCGUAAACGAUGUCUACUUGGAGGUUGUGCCCUUGAGGCGUGGCUUCCGGAGCUAACGCGUUAAGUAGACCGCCUGGGGAGUACGGCCGCAAGGUUAAAACUCAAAUGAAUUGACGGGGGCCCGCACAAGCGGUGGAGCAUGUGGUUUAAUUCGAUGCAACGCGAAGAACCUUACCUGGUCUUGACAUCCACAGAAGAAUCCAGAGAUGGAUUUGUGCCUUCGGGAACUGUGAGACAGGUGCUGCAUGGCUGUCGUCAGCUCGUGUUGUGAAAUGUUGGGUUAAGUCCCGCAACGAGCGCAACCCUUAUCCUUUGUUGCCAGCGGUUAGGCCGGGAACUCAAAGGAGACUGCCAGUGAUAAACUGGAGGAAGGUGGGGAUGACGUCAAGUCAUCAUGGCCCUUACGACCAGGGCUACACACGUGCUACAAUGGCGCAUACAAAGAGAAGCGACCUCGCGAGAGCAAGCGGACCUCAUAAAGUGCGUCGUAGUCCGGAUUGGAGUCUGCAACUCGACUCCAUGAAGUCGGAAUCGCUAGUAAUCGUGGAUCAGAAUGCCACGGUGAAUACGUUCCCGGGCCUUGUACACACCGCCCGUCACACCAUGGGAGUGGGUUGCAAAAGAAGUAGGUAGCUUAACCUUCGGGAGGGCGCUUACCACUUUGUGAUUCAUGACUGGGGUGAAGUCGUAACAAGGUAACCGUAGGGGAACCUGCGGUUGGAUCACCUCCUUACCUUAAAGAA
RNAcentral lists this ribosomal RNA (1389 nucleotides) under Salmonella enterica subsp. enterica serovar Enteritidis. Its description in RNAcentral is "bacterial SSU rRNA". It matches the Rfam family "Bacterial small subunit ribosomal RNA", at positions 158 to 1533 of the family's 1533-position model. Lineage: Bacteria; Pseudomonadati; Pseudomonadota; Gammaproteobacteria; Enterobacterales; Enterobacteriaceae. The record is from RNAcentral.